Molecule: ribosomal RNA, 253 nt
Filed under: uncultured bacterium
Lineage: Bacteria
Description: partial 16S ribosomal RNA
Rfam family: Bacterial small subunit ribosomal RNA
Source: RNAcentral
UACGUAGGGUGCGAGCGUUAAUCGGAAUUACUGGGCGUAAAGGGUGCGCAGGCGGCUCCGCAUGUCGGGCGUGAAAUCCCCGGGCUUAACCUGGGAAUGGCGUCCGAAACUAUGGGGCUGGAGUGUGGCAGAGGGAGGUGGAAUUCCACGUGUAGCGGUGAAAUGCGUAGAGAUGUGGAGGAACACCGAUGGCGAAGGCAGCCUCCUGGGCCAACACUGACGCUCAUGCACGAAAGCGUGGGGAGCAAACAGG